GCAUCGAUCCAUAGCUCAGUGGCAGAGCGGUGGGACGUUGACCCAUGUGGCCCGGGUUCGAGCCCCGGUCGAUGCA
This is a non-coding RNA of Phthorimaea operculella (potato tuberworm), 76 nucleotides long. The record is from the annotation of a GenBank genome assembly. NCBI's taxonomy places the organism in Eukaryota, Metazoa, Arthropoda, Insecta, Lepidoptera, Gelechiidae.